This 76-nucleotide transfer RNA is filed under the name Candidatus Bathyarchaeota archaeon. RNAcentral's name for it is "tRNA-Gln". It matches the Rfam family "tRNA". Rfam says of the family: Transfer RNA (tRNA) molecules are approximately 80 nucleotides in length. RNAcentral also lists the same sequence under 2 other names. Lineage: Archaea; Thermoproteati; Candidatus Bathyarchaeota. The record is from RNAcentral.
AGCCCGGUCGUCUAGCGGUCAAGGAUGGGAGGCUCUGGACCUCCUGACGAGAGUUCGAAUCUCUCCCGGGCUACCA